UUCUUGUCUUAUUUAGCUGAGAACUUAGAGCUGCCUUAGUUGCAUGAACCUUCUAUGCAGGUGCUGUUCCCUCUUUAAAUGAGGCUUCAAACUUUGUACUCCUGCUCUUGCUCGUGUCCCAUCUGUUUAUACUUGCAAACAUUUUGAAACAAAUGCUUGCUACUCCCGUGAGUGGGAUGUAUAGUUCUGAGUGCUUCUUAGAUGGCUCUUCUAAGAUGUAAGUUUAGCCACUAACUCAGAAAUUCUGAAAGAUGAGUUAAAGAAGUGGAACAAGGACUGUUUUGGCAAUGUCGAAGAAGGAUAAAGUGCAAUCAGCGAUAAGAUGGAGACUUUGGAUGCCAAUUAAGAUUGUGGCUGCUGUAGCAGAAGAAAUUAUGGAAAGAUUUUCCUCGAAAAGUCAGCUCCAAGAGGCGUGAUUAGAUUAAGGGCCUGUUUUGGAUGGGGUGAAGGGUUUUCCCUGCUGGAAAUGGAAAGGGUUCUUUGAUGGGACGGUUCUACCUGAUUAUGAAUGCAAACUAACCAUGUAAAUGUGUUUACCUUUCGGAUUGAAGACAACACAUCAUUUUAUCUCUCCAAUUGUAGGGAGGAAAAUGCUUGUGUACCUCGCCUAGGUAUCUACCGUGUUUACUCAAACGUGGGGCAAAUAGCUCCACAAGCAUGAAAUCCACCCCGUCCAUCGGGUAUACCACCCCUUCUUUGGCCUUGAUCCCAAACAGCAGGCUGAUUUGACACUCAAUUGGGCCACUCCAUAAAAAAGAUACGUAAACCUCUGAAUUCAUGUGCUAUGGCCCACUUGAGUUUUGGAAUGUUGUGAUUUUUAGGUAAUUCUUCACAUAGCAGGUGAAUGGAUUGGAUGGCUUAUAAACAUGCUUGUUGUGGGCCAUCAUAGCAUGAAUAUGUAUGUAUAUGCCACGAUUGUGUGGAGCACCGUAAUAUUUUCGGUUGGAUUUCCACAUUUAUGCAUGCCAAUAUAAAUAGAUGAAAUUGGAAAUGAAAAUACAUUUCCACAGCAAAUGUUGUACAAACCAAACAGGUGAAAGGGAAAUGGAUACAGUAGUUUUUACCUAGGUGAUCCAUGAUCUUAUUUUUACCUUCCCUUUCCAUUACCCCCUCUUGGAUUCACCCUAUCCAAACAGGCCGUAAAGGAAAUUCAUGGAUAGUAGUGUAGUUAAAGGCGAUAGCUGCACCUUCUACAGAAAUACACCUGAAAAAUCUAGGCCAAGGUAUUCAAUAACUGUAAUGGUGGCCAUAAUGGCUAGCCUUAUGGCCAUUCCGAUCAAGGUAUUCAAUAAUGGUUACAGUGGGCAUAACGGCCAGCCUUAUGCCUGGUAUAAUAUGGCUCUGCAACAGUAAAAAAAUAAAUCGAAGGAAGAAUAUGUACUGGCCCAUUACGGCCCUGUACCAGCCCAUUACGGCCGUUAUGGGCCUUAUUUAUUAUUAUUUUUUUUUUCAGAAUGGCCAUUACAGCCCUGUAUUGUAUAACGGCCCCCCACCAUCACCAUUAUGUAACGACCAUAACUGUUAUGUAACCGUUUUUAAUACCAUUGUCACGAUAUCGGCCGUAAUGACUGUUAUGCCCCUAUAAUGGUAAAAAAAUAAAAAAAUUUAAAAAAAUAACAGAAGGAAAUGUAUCAGCCCCAGUAUUGGAUCAUUAUGGGCCAACAUCUGCGCGUUAUGGCCUGUAUUGGUUACAUCCUUUUUUUUUUUUUUCCAAAACGGGCAUGACAGCCCAGUCUCAUGUAAUGGGUUACUGUUACUAGGCACAAUUUUUAUUAAACUUAUUUUAUAUGAUGCGUGUUGUUUACGGAUACCUAUCAAUUUUUUUUUAAAAAAAUUAGUUUUAGCACUAAUACUAAUUUUAACACAUGAAUUGAAACUAACUGUAAAGUUAUUACAUAUUUUAGACAUGCAAUUUCUAAAACCUUACACUAGCUCAAACUUUCCAAUGAAUCCACGAAAACCUAGAAUUUCAAAUUAUCCAAAUUUCCAAACCUAGAAACCCUAAUUUCAUAAGAUUCUAGUUCCUCUUUCUUCUAUAUCGCUAAUUGUCCUAACUUCCCCAAAUCCUAAUCCCAAAUUCCUUAAUCCAAAACUAUAAUUUUGCCAAAAUCCCUAAAAUUUUUGGAACCCUAAAAAUUCAAAUUUUAAUAUCUCCAAAUUCUCCAACCUACAUUUUCCAAUUCCCCUAAAAUCUCCAAUUUGUCUUCUACUUCUUGUAUGACAAAUGGAAACUCUAAUUGCUUUUAAGAAGACAAUGUAGUACUUAAAAUUCUAAUAGAACUAUAGAAGCAAGGAAUUAAUAAGAUGAACUUUAUGAGUUUAUAAAAAAUUUAAGAAAUAUGGGAGAAGACGUAUUUUUCAUAAGUUAAAGCUUUGAUAUAAAAGAAAUAGGGAACCAUUGUUCAAAGGGCAUUUAUAAGGUCUCCUUCCCCCCUAAAGUCUUUCCACCCAUAAUGUGAUGCGAUUUCAUUGGAUUGUGCAGUGGAAUAUGACUUUCUUCGAAUUCGAAAUUGAAAUCCUAAUCCCAAGAUCUCCUCAAUACAAUCAUGUACAAUUUCUAGAAUCAAAGAACUAACUUGAGAAAGUUAUACCUGGAAUUAGACGAUCUGUGUUGAUCUAAUGUCGAUGAUGGUCUCCCAACCUAGGUCUCUUCUCGAUCUAUCCUAGUCAAAGGUAUUCUGUAACGGUAAUGGUAGCCGUAGUGGCCACCACCGUUACCUUUAUGAUACGAGUUGUAACCGUCAUUACGGGCCUCGUAAGGGCUGUUACAAUAUUUUUUUUAUUGAAAGAAAAAUUCCAAAAAACUUGUAUCAGCCCUAUCAUGGAUCGUAAUGGGGCCGUUACGGAGGCUGUAACUAACAGCCUUUACGGGUCAUUUUUUUUCGUAACGGCCAUUACGAUCUCGUAACGUGUAACGGUUGCCAGUGUUACCUUUACAUAAUAGUCUUUAUGGCCCCGUAACGGUUGUUACGAGUUUCAACACACCAUGAUCUCGGUACUGGAGAGAUCUAGAUAGCCCAAGGAAUUUCAUUUGGUAGGUGCCAAGGAAUCUCACAACUACAAGGAUGGACCACACGGAGGUGGAGAAGAUGCGGAAAAGGAUAAAAAACUUCUUCAUUCUUUCUACACACUUCUCUCCUCUCUAAUUUACAUGCCCAAGGGAAAAGGGUGUCUAGGGUUUCUCGUAUCAACUCCUCUGAGAUAGAAUCAAAUAAAUGAGGAGGAAGUUAGGGUUUAAGGAGAAUACCAAUAUGGUACUCUUCCACCCUACACAAUUUUAUAACCUAUUGUGAGGGAAGUGCGUCGAUCUGCCUCAUCUAUGCAUAUACUCAUGAUGCACUCCCUUUACUGCCAUGGUCAUCCACUAAUGAUCAUAUCCCAUGCCAAUCAGAAGUGAACCAUCAGAUUUGGGCCAUCAAGUUAUCACCAAGUGCGAUUAAAGUAGUUUUAACGGUUAAAACAAAACUUUAACAGUUAAAAACCUUUGAAAAAUCAAUUAAAAUAAUUAGAGUGUUGGGCCCAGUGGAAAAACCACUUGAUGAGUCCCUGAUUUAUCCAGAUCAAAGUCAUAAACAUGAUCCUAGGCAAACCAAUGGUCCCUUGUUUGACCGUGCAAGAAUCAACAACUCCCGAUGGAAGUACCUAGUUACAUCCCACUUUAUUGGCCCCCGCAUGGACCUCGUAGGAAGAGCCAAAGCUGACUAAACAAGAUCGUGACUUUUACAUGUCCUUAGGUCUAAGGAUUAAUCAUCUUUCAUGCAUCAUCAAGUCUCAAUCUCACGAUCACAGUCCAAGCUAAUGGGCCCCUAGACUGUUGACUUGAUCUCGAUCCACCAAUGUUAGUGACCAAAGAUCUAAACCUAGAUCCUUUAUUCAUGGCACACUCACACUCCUGUGUAGGGUAAGGGUAAGGGUAAAGCAUAAACUGACACUAGUCAGUUCCCGAUGGUGUAAAUUGUCCAUCCUGACGCAAGAUGACCAUACAUCUCACGAACUGAUGUCCACAGGUGUGUCCCAUGCACCUGUGACGAUCAUGGUCUAACGGGGUACUGAGAUCGAUGGACCACGACUCUUCUAGGUCAAUGACCAUCAUGUCCAAUCUCAAGUUUCCGAGGACUACCAGAGGAAUCACUCCUCAAUAAACUCAUAAUGAAGAUUUAAGGCAACACUAUAUACAGAGGAUGAAUAGUAUGUCCACUAAGGACUCAUGGUCAUCAUGAUCUUUGGCCAAGAUUGCCCUAAUCACAUCCACACGGUUAAUGGAUUAGAGCUCACAUUGGUUUUCCAGGAUACUGGCUCCAACAUAAUGGAUGUCAAAAUACCUCAAAUAUGAUUUCUUUGAGGGAACAAUAAUGGUACCUUAUGACAUUUUGCAGGUGGUACUUGGGCAUAUUAAGGCACUAGGCACGCGCUCUGGUGCACCUUGGCGCUAGGCACCAGAAUGCCCGACCUGGAUCAAUUAGUCUUUUUGGGAGUUGAAGGAAUUGAAGGGCCUUAAAAUCUACAAGACUUGUAGGGGUAUGUCUUAUCCACGUGACGGGGGACACAUCAUGCCAACUCAUGGAUCCCAUAUGUUGUAAUUAAAAACUUCAAAUAAUUGGAUUUUUAUUCCUUCUUUUCUCAGGUUAUGAUAAGUUUUUUUCAUAUUUCUAGCACUUCUCUUUAAAUAAUGGUUUUUCAGUGGUAACUCCAAUUUUGUUAGAAACAAAAUAAGAAAGAGAGAUUAGUCUUGCCUUAACAAG
This is a long non-coding RNA of Magnolia sinica, 4742 nucleotides long. RefSeq lists it as uncharacterized. NCBI's taxonomy places the organism in Eukaryota, Viridiplantae, Streptophyta, Magnoliopsida, Magnoliales, Magnoliaceae. The transcript has 2 exons. The record is from RefSeq and is a predicted model, not a curated record.